UCCUUGUGACCGACCAUGCAAUGGUACCACUACAUAUUUCGUUUACUAAAAAUUUUAAUAACCCGGUUAAUCAACAUUUACUCAGAACUACUUGAAGGCAAUUUACUAAACAGUGUGAUGUGCUCAAAAUUUAUUUACAACCAGACCGGUUUCAACUUUAAUGAGUGGCCGGAGUAUGACCCAAAUUGUGCUUUGUAUACAGAGGAUUAUAUGAAUGUUUGCGCACAAAGUCCCUUCUUUGUAUUUUCUGGAGAUUCGGAAACAGAGAAAGUUUUUGAAGAAUUUUCACAGAUGAAAAAUAUUACUUGCUCUGCACAAGGAGUUCCUCCACCCGUUCUUACUUGGGAUUACGCAACACAGUACUACGUAAUCCGAUCGAACAAUAGAUUAAUUUCGAAUGUAACGAGGUUUAAGGAUGACAAUGGAAGUUGGACGAUACGGGCAACAAUCUAUUUCCAAGUUGUUGAACGCUCAGAUGACAGAGUAUACAUUUGUGAUGCUAGCAAUAUUGCUGGCUCUGCCAAUAGAACCUAUACAGUCUCAGUUUCAUCUGAUUUCAUGGACUGGAAACUGACUUUACUUAUUACUGGAGGUGCUACGUUAAGUCUUUUGGGCUUACUUGCAAUACCACUAACUUACAUUUUAUACAGACUUCAGAAGAAGGUACAGUAAUUUACAACUAAGCCAAUUUGAAUAGUUUAAUGGCCUCAGAUUAAAUAAUUUCCAGAGAAACGAAAAACUUCUUGAACUCUAUAACCAAUUUAAAUAUGGCGCCAAUUCACGAAGCAGUAGGAGUAUGCAAUCUGCAUCCUUCCUUCAAAACUUAACGAACGUAUCGAUUCCCGGCGUAUAUCGCACGUACCAACGGAUUUACCAUUUCCUAAGACGUUAGAAAUAUUUGCCCACCGGUUGGACAUCUUUGACUCAAUUGUUCUUGGCAGUGGUGCAUUUGGCAUUGUCUACAAAGGAAUGCUAGACAAAUACACAGAGGUUGCCAUAAAAACCGUUACUAAAAAUAGCUGUGAAUCAAAAUUGGCAGCUUUGCUAUCAGAAAUCAAAAUUAUGAACUACGCUGGAGGGCAUCCCAACGUUGUACAAUUACUUGGCGUACAAAUAAAAGAUUUAAGGAAAGGUAUUGUGUUCGCUGUCGUUGAAUUUUGCAGUCGUGGAUCGCUGGAAGGGAUUCUGCGAGCUAAACGAAGAGCUCUCUAUCGUUCAAAUUACUUUAACCCUAUAUACACAAUUCCCGGAUGUCUUGGAGCUUCUACUUUUGUUAAAAACUUUUCCACAUACGAACUACUGACGUUUUGUCGCCAGGUUUGCAGUGCGAUGGAGUAUCUUGGAUCUAAGAGAGUAUUCACGACUUCCACCUGCUAAUAUGAAUAAGCAUGAAGGAACUAUACUGGUGACUGCAUUAUUAAAUGAAAUGCAACAACCCAGGUAAUUCAUGGAAGUUCCCCAAAUGUCCUUAUUCAUGGAAAUGGUACAGCAAAAAUAUCAGAUUUUGGACUAUCUCGACAAAUCUAUGGAAACUAUAAGGAGUACAUUGUAGCAUCGAAAGUAUUUAUCCACAAAAAUAUUGGUUUGUUCCAUACUUGGCCCACUAACUGGAAUAUGCCUGUCUAAAUUGGUUGUGUAGAAAACUGCGCUCCCUUGGAGAUGGCUUGCAAUUGAAACUUUAGAAAAUCUAAGGUUCUCACCAGAUUCUGACAUAUGGGCCUUUGGAGUAUUUAUGUGGGAAGUUUUCAGCUUGGGCGAUGUACCAUACUCUGCAGGAAUAACAUGGAGCCCUGAGUUUGUCAAGUACCUAAGGUCUGGAUUCCGCCUUCAAGUACCUCAAUAUGCCACCGAUGAAAUUUAUAAUGUAAUGAAGAAAUGCUGGGAACAAGAACCAAGUGAAAGAAUCAGGUUUCGAUCCAUAAAUGCCAGCCUUGAUGUUUUACUGGAAUUAGAGUACUCAAAGAAAUAACUACAACAUAUAGGGUAGUUGUACCUUUAUGUACAUACGGAUAUGUGUGUACUUAAAUUCUCCAAAAGGCAAUGUAGUUUAAUUAAGAUGGUAUGGUUAGGGCUCUUAGACACAUUUUAUUUUCGAGAAGA
This is a long non-coding RNA of Folsomia candida, 2100 nucleotides long. RefSeq lists it as uncharacterized. The transcript is spliced from 4 exons. The record is from RefSeq and is a predicted model, not a curated record. NCBI's taxonomy places the organism in Eukaryota, Metazoa, Arthropoda, Collembola, Entomobryomorpha, Isotomidae.